RNAcentral lists this ribosomal RNA (373 nucleotides) under Nitzschia linearis. RNAcentral's name for it is "SSU rRNA". It matches the Rfam family "Eukaryotic small subunit ribosomal RNA", at positions 594 to 971 of the family's 1831-position model. Lineage: Eukaryota; Bacillariophyta; Bacillariophyceae; Bacillariales; Bacillariaceae. The record is from RNAcentral.
AUAGCGUAUAUUAAAGUUGUUGCAGUUAAAAAGCUCGUAGUUGGAUUUGUGGCUGUCGCUAGUGGCCUGUCACUUAGUGUCAGUGCUUGCUGGCGUCGCCAUCCUUGGGUGGAGCCUGUGUGGCAUUAGGUUGUCGUGCAGGGGAUGCCCAUCGUUUACUGUGAGAAAAUUAGAGUGUUCAAAGCAGGCUUAUGCCGUUGAAUAUGUUAGCAUGGAAUAAUAAGAUAGGACCUUGGUACUAUUUUGUUGGUUUGCGCACCGAGGUAAUGAUUAAUAGGGACAGUUGGGGGUAUUCGUAUUCCAUUGUCAGAGGUGAAAUUCUUGGAUUUCUGGAAGACGAACUACUGCGAAAGCAUUUACCAAGGAUGUUUUC